Molecule: ribosomal RNA, 175 nt
Filed under: Amanita calyptratoides
Lineage: Eukaryota; Fungi; Basidiomycota; Agaricomycetes; Agaricales; Amanitaceae
Description: partial 28S ribosomal RNA
Rfam family: Eukaryotic large subunit ribosomal RNA
Source: RNAcentral
UUGACCUCAAAUCAGGUAGGAGUACCCGCUGAACUUAAGCAUAUCAAUAAGCGGAGGAAAAGAAACUAACAAGGAUUCCCCUAGUAACUGCGAGUGAAGCGGGAAAUGCUCAAAUUUAAAAUCUGGCAGUCUUUUGCUGUCCGAGUUGUAAUCUAGAGAAGUGUUGCUCACGCUG